RNAcentral lists this long non-coding RNA (321 nucleotides) under Androctonus crassicauda. The record is from RNAcentral. Lineage: Eukaryota; Metazoa; Arthropoda; Arachnida; Scorpiones; Buthidae.
UCAACAUGAUGGCUGGAGUGCUCAGGAAUGGUGAUGCAUGUAUGCUGGUUCCGGGGCGACGUCCUGCGCUGUUCCGGCUCCUGCGGAGUGGCAGGGGCCCUGUCCCCGAGGACCGAGGGGCGGGAAUGUGUGCGGUCCCCUUGUGCAGCCAUAGUGGGGGCCGGAGCCAAUGUUGUGUUGGCGGUGCUGGGCGGAGCCUGGAGGGGCGGAUUGAGGAACAUAGGGCGGACAUUGCCACUGGUAGACUUGCCACUGCCCUCGCAAUGAAGAGCUGCGAACGGGAUAUCGAUGUCCAUUGGUCGCAGGCCCAGGUUGUUGGAC